This is a long non-coding RNA of Hemibagrus wyckioides, 3061 nucleotides long. RefSeq lists it as uncharacterized. The transcript has 3 exons. NCBI's taxonomy places the organism in Eukaryota, Metazoa, Chordata, Actinopteri, Siluriformes, Bagridae. The record is from RefSeq and is a predicted model, not a curated record.
CAAACAGAUGAUACUCUUUCCUGGCAUUCGUUUACCGUUUUCAUUUUUACCUCGCUGUUUACAUUUACCUCGCUUUUUACAAUGGCUAGCCAAGGAACUGAAUAGGAAGAGGCGGCUGCACAAUCCUAAAAUCGCGAUUAAGCUCGCCAUAUAAUGAGAUGGUCACCUCAUUUUAGUAGGAGCACUGUCCAUAAGCCCAGAACUGUCCGAUGAAGGCCUGGAUAAAAAUGACUUUGUUGUUGCCUGCAAGACAUACUACAAGACCGUGAGUAGAAAUUUCCGGGAUAGCCAGCCAGAGCUAUCAAAUGUGUCUGCAGCUAAUAAGACCUCAGCCCAGAGUCGCCAGAGGAGGAAGAGGGUAAGACAGAUUAGAAUUAAAUUCAUUUUACUUAUUGUGAGACGAAGAAGACGGUGCUGUUGAUGGAGUCUCGGGGUGGAUUGUGAGACCUCCAUUGUUCUGCAGCCAGGAGCUCAGAAAUCUGUGUGCUAAGCUGAAGGCGAGACUAGAAGCCAGUCCAAGGUGUGCAGCACUGCAUCACCGGCAUCUGUGAACUGGGCUGCCUUCUAACAGAACACCAUCGCAUACCUCUGACCCCGAGGCAGCAAAAACACAUUUGAUGCCAAACGUGAUGCCAUGAAAAUAAUCUCUGGCUACUUUUUGUGUAUUUAUUUUUCAUAUGUCUAUUAAAUAAAACUCUUCAAUUUUAUCUUCCUAAUUCUAAUAUUUACUAUUAGCCUUUCUGACACCUAUAUUGUUAUAAUAUCUCUUUAACGAUUUUUUAUAGAUUAAUAUAAUAAAUAAAUAUAAAUAAAAAUUAUAUAUGUAUAUAUAUAUAACAAAAGGGAAAAGAUAUUUCUAUUUUGAAAAUUGUGCUUUCAUCCAGUAGGUACUGUAGAACAUUCAAAGUGGUUUCACUCAAAUGCUAAUUCACAUUUUGCACCUUGUACCUCCACACACACCUCCCUCCCCAUACACCCCAUGGUAUGAUAACGACUGUUUCUGUCACUCGCGAACAGGAACUUCCCAGGCUGUGAAUUGUCGAUAACUGCCAGUGAUUAGAGAAGUCAUCAGGCAUUCACAGGGACGAAAAUCUGCCUUUUCAUGCAGUGUAAAAAGCCAAAAUAUCACUCAGGAACUGUGGUGCCAAACAAUUUGGUGCUUUAUAGUUUAGUUAUAGUAUUUUAUAAUUAAUGUGACAUUUGAUUGGUAGCCAAUGCAGUGUGGUUAAGAUAGGAGUGAUGUGUUCAUAUCCUCUGGUUCUAGUUAGGACUCUAGCUGCUGCAUUCUGGACUAACUGGAACUUGUUUAUGCUCCUACUGGAACAUCCAGACAGUAAGACAUUACAAUAAUCCAAACUAGAGGUAACAAAAGCAUGAACUAAUUUUUCUGCAUCAUGAAGUGACAUCAUAUUUCUUAUCUUAGCAAUAUUCCUAAGAUGGAAGAAGGCUACCCGAGUGAUAUUAUCUACAUGAGCUUCAAACAAAAGACCAGAAUCAAUAAUCACACCAAGAUCUUUUACUCCUGGACAAGAUGAAACCAAAAGACCAUCCACCGUUACUCUGUAAUCAGAAAGCUCACUUCUAGCUGCAUGUGGUUCUAGUACUAGCACCUCUGUCUUGUCUGAAUUAAGCAGGAGGAAGUUAGUGACCAUCCAGUGUCUAAUGUCCUUUACACAUUCUUCUAUCUUAAUAAGCUGGUGUCUCUCAUCUGACUUAGCUGAGACAUAUAGCUGUGUGUCGUCAGCAUAACAGUGGAAGCUAAUACCAUGUUUAUGAAUAAUUGCACCAAGGGGUAGCAUAUAUAGGGAGAAAAGCAGUGGGCCUAAAACAGAACCUUGUGGAACACCAAACAUAACCUUGGUAGGCAUAGAGAAGUCACCAUCUAGAUCUACAAACUGAUAACGGUCAGUCAAAUAAGACCUGAGCUUUACUAUGUUAGCGUCACUCACCGGAAGUGCUGACAAAAAAAAACAAAUUGAUAGAGAGAAAAAGAAACAGAGACUGUCUGUGAAUAAAGCUUGAGAUUUUCAAGAAAAGAAAAGUUAUUUUAGAAAAAAUAACUGAAGUUUUUUCCAUAAGGAUUAAAUAAAGUAGAUUAGUUAUCUAGAGCUAAAUUACUAAUCAAUUUUGGAGCAUGUAAAGAAACAUAACCGUUUAUGCCCUUGUUCAUCGCGAGCAUUGAGCUGAAGUUAAGAAAGUCAUUGCUGUAAUUGUGGUGUAAAAGAUUUGUAAAACACAGUCAAUUCAGAGGAAUCAGUGAGUUACAGAUUUAUUUUUGUGCAUCUGAUGUGCUGUAAAAACUAUGUGCUGUAUUCCUAUGUGCAUUAAAUUGAAGUAAUACGUUCAUUGUAUGUUAAGUAUGGCCUAUGCUGUAAGUAAUGAACAUUAAUUUUGGCAAAUACUGUUGACAGAGUAUGUGAGGUCUCUAAGAAUGUUAUCCUGUGUGUACAGGCCAGUUUUGUUAUAUGCAUUGAAGUUUGGAUUUUCUGCUGUGAGUUACAUACCUGGUGUGAAUGCAUCAUGCCGCAUUGAGAAACAAGGAUGGCGAGCGAGUCUGAACCUUCAACUUUUUUGUUUUUUUCAUUGAUUCACAGUCUGUUCUGCCAACAGAUUUUUCUCUUUCAACAUUUUUCUGAUUUUGACUGAAUGGACUGCAGUAGUUUAUGAACUUGAUUUGAAUCAUUGAAUGUACUGAGGUAAAUGACCUUUAUUGUAUGCUAUUGUAAGACUUUUGUUCACAUUUUGUUUGUUUAGAAAUAUUUUUUUUCCUGACUGAUCUGGUUUAUAAAAUAUUACACAUUGUCAAGAUAUCUUGUGACUGGUUAAUUUUGCUAUUGAUUGUGGGUUGAAAUCGUAAUUUGAAUUUGUUUAUUUAAAACCAAAUAGUUAUUUAAUUACAGUAAAGCAGAACUUGUCUUAAAAUCGAAACCAAAUUUAUUCAUUGACAAUCAAAUUUAAUUAAGAGGACUAAAAGUUACAAGACACAACCAAAAAUUUCAUUAAGAUUAAAAGGGGAAUUAUCGGCUAAAGUGUUUUUUUUUUUAUUUAUUUUUUUAUUGAA